UUUGCUUCCUGCUGUACAGACUGCUGCCACACUGGCUGGCUAGGUCGCUCUGAGAGAGAGAAAUGAGAGACACUAAAAUAAGAUAAGCUUCCAAUGCAAGGCCUUAUCUUCCCAUUUCAAACUCGCACUAGAUUGGGGAGAAUGCAAUUGCUUCAACAUAAAAGCUAAAAGGUCUGGGCCUCUUACUCCAUUGGGGUCUACAUCGUUUCUGCUCAGUGUCUCCACAGAGCAGAGAGAGAAGAGAGCAAUUUCCUGUUUGUUCAUGCUUAUAUACUGUUACUGCCUACAUCAUCAUUUCCUGGUUGGAUCAC
Molecule: long non-coding RNA, 311 nt
Filed under: Cricetulus griseus (Chinese hamster)
Lineage: Eukaryota; Metazoa; Chordata; Mammalia; Rodentia; Cricetidae
Description: lncRNA (ENSCGRG00015031302.1)
Source: RNAcentral